ACAUGCCUAAAACAUAGUGUUAAUGCAUCACAUCCCAUUAGAAAUCCACAGUUAAGCAUGCUCAUGCUAGAGUAGUGCUGCGAUGGGUGACCGCCCGGGAAGUGCUAGUGUUUCACAUGCC
Picea glauca (white spruce) is the source of this 121-nucleotide non-coding RNA. NCBI's taxonomy places the organism in Eukaryota, Viridiplantae, Streptophyta, Pinopsida, Pinales, Pinaceae. The record is from Rfam.